This 45-nucleotide non-coding RNA is filed under the name Schistosoma bovis. The record is from RNAcentral. RNAcentral also lists the same sequence under 1 other name. Lineage: Eukaryota; Metazoa; Platyhelminthes; Trematoda; Strigeidida; Schistosomatidae.
GUCUAGCUGACGAGCUCUAAAUAGGAUGAAACGCGCGUGCUGGAU